AACGAACGCUGGCGGCAGGCCUAACACAUGCGAGUCGAGCGCGCCCUUCGGGGUGAGCGGCGGCCGGGUGAGUAACGCGUGGGAACGUGCCCUUCUCUGCGGAAUAGCCUCGGGAAACUGAGAGUAAUACCGCAUACGCCCUUUGGGGGAAAGAUUUAUCGGAGAAGGAUCGGCCCGCGUUGGAUUAGGUAGUUGGUGGGGUAAUGGCCCACCAAGCCGACGAUCCAUAGCUGGUUUGAGAGGAUGAUCAGCCACACUGGGACUGAGACACGGCCCAGCCUCCUACGGGAGGCAGCAGUGGGGAAUCGUAGACAAUGGGGGCAACCCUGAUCGAGCCAUGCCGGGUGAGUGAUGAAGGCCUUAGGGUUGUAAAGCUCUUUCAGCUGGGAAGAUAAUGACGGUACCAGCAGAAGAAGCCCCGGCUAACUCCGUG
Molecule: ribosomal RNA, 433 nt
Filed under: uncultured bacterium
Lineage: Bacteria
Description: partial 16S ribosomal RNA
Rfam family: Bacterial small subunit ribosomal RNA
Source: RNAcentral